ACAACGAAGAGUUUGAUCCUGGCUCAGGAUGAACGCUAGCGACAGGCUUAACACAUGCAAGUCGAGGGGCAGCGGGGGUAGCAAUACCCGCCGGCGACCGGCGCACGGGUGAGUAACGCGUAUGCAACUUACCUAUCAGAGGGGGAUAACCCGGCGAAAGUCGGACUAAUACCGCAUGAAGCAGGGAUCCCGCAUGGGAAUAUUUGCUAAAGAUUCAUCGCUGAUAGAUAGGCAUGCGUUCCAUUAGGCAGUUGGCGGGGUAACGGCCCACCAAACCGACGAUGGAUAGGGGUUCUGAGAGGAAGGUCCCCCACAUUGGUACUGAGACACGGACCAAACUCCUACGGGAGGCAGCAGUGAGGAAUAUUGGUCAAUGGCCGAGAGGCUGAACCAGCCAAGUCGCGUGAGGGAUGAAGGUUCUAUGGAUCGUAAACCUCUUUUAUAAGGGAAUAAAGUGCGGGACGUGUCCCGUUUUGUAUGUACCUUAUGAAUAAGGAUCGGCUAACUCCGUGCCAGCAGCCGCGGUAAUACGGAGGAUCCGAGCGUUAUCCGGAUUUAUUGGGUUUAAAGGGUGCGUAGGCGGCCUUUUAAGUCAGCGGUGAAAGUCUGUGGCUCAACCAUAGAAUUGCCGUUGAAACUGGGGGGCUUGAGUAUGUUUGAGGCAGGCGGAAUGCGUGGUGUAGCGGUGAAAUGCAUAGAUAUCACGCAGAACCCCGAUUGCGAAGGCAGCCUGCCAAGCCAUGACUGACGCUGAUGCACGAAAGCGUGGGGAUCAAACAGGAUUAGAUACCCUGGUAGUCCACGCAGUAAACGAUGAUCACUAGCUGUUUGCGAUACACUGUAAGCGGCACAGCGAAAGCGUUAAGUGAUCCACCUGGGGAGUACGCCGGCAACGGUGAAACUCAAAGGAAUUGACGGGGGCCCGCACAAGCGGAGGAACAUGUGGUUUAAUUCGAUGAUACGCGAGGAACCUUACCCGGGUUUGAACGCAUUCGGACCGAGGUGGAAACACCUUUUCUAGCAAUAGCCGUUUGCGAGGUGCUGCAUGGUUGUCGUCAGCUCGUGCCGUGAGGUGUCGGCUUAAGUGCCAUAACGAGCGCAACCCUUGCCACUAGUUACUAACAGGUAAAGCUGAGGACUCUGGUGGGACUGCCAGCGUAAGCUGCGAGGAAGGCGGGGAUGACGUCAAAUCAGCACGGCCCUUACAUCCGGGGCGACACACGUGUUACAAUGGCGUGGACAAAGGGAAGCCACCUGGCGACAGGGAGCGAAUCCCCAAACCACGUCUCAGUUCGGAUCGGAGUCUGCAACCCGACUCCGUGAAGCUGGAUUCGCUAGUAAUCGCGCAUCAGCCAUGGCGCGGUGAAUACGUUCCCGGGCCUUGUACACACCGCCCGUCAAGCCAUGGGAGCCGGGGGUACCUGAAGUCCGUAACCGCGAGGAUCGGCCUAGGGUAAAACUGGUGACUGGGGCUAAGUCGUAACAAGGUAGCCGUACCGGAAGGUGCGGCUGGAACACCUCCUUU
Molecule: ribosomal RNA, 1525 nt
Filed under: Parabacteroides distasonis
Lineage: Bacteria; Pseudomonadati; Bacteroidota; Bacteroidia; Bacteroidales; Tannerellaceae
Description: bacterial SSU rRNA
Rfam family: Bacterial small subunit ribosomal RNA
Source: RNAcentral